RNAcentral lists this long non-coding RNA (489 nucleotides) under Gallus gallus (chicken). RNAcentral describes it as "lncRNA (ENSGALG00010022133.1)". Lineage: Eukaryota; Metazoa; Chordata; Aves; Galliformes; Phasianidae. The record is from RNAcentral.
GCUCGCAUUGUUUGAGUUUUUGCAUGCACAACAACAGGGAGAAACUUUUCUUUCUCACACUAAUUUGUACUGGUGAAAUGGAAAGCAGGUUAGUAUUUAUGUCCAGCCAUGUGUGAAAUUAGUAUCCUCCAAAUGCACUGAAAUGAAUGCUUGUGGUAAUAAAGAAGUAGUCACUGUUUAAUUUUUAUGCAUACUUCACCUUAAAAUUGGUUUUCUGAAUAGCUGCUACGUGCAUUUAAAAUUCUCCCUGAAACACUGCAAUAUUUAAUACUUUUUUCUGGUCCAGCUCUGUAACUCUUUCUGCAAUGGGCAGAGCUUGCCUGGGAGGUUGCAGGGAGUUUAGAAGCUCCUGGGAAAGUUUUGGCCCUUUUAUCAAGUACAAUGCAUCAAUCAGUGGGCACGCAUCCAAACCCAGCCUUCUGCUACCCUCUAUUGGGAAGAGAUGAGAUGAAGGAAACCCAUGUUCCUGCGUCAUCUGAAAUACUCCGG